RNAcentral lists this non-coding RNA (31 nucleotides) under Mus musculus (house mouse). The record is from RNAcentral. Lineage: Eukaryota; Metazoa; Chordata; Mammalia; Rodentia; Muridae.
UCUGGUGGUUGGCGAAGUGUCUCUCCUAUGU